Molecule: ribosomal RNA, 275 nt
Filed under: Lacticaseibacillus rhamnosus
Lineage: Bacteria; Bacillati; Bacillota; Bacilli; Lactobacillales; Lactobacillaceae
Description: Lactobacillus rhamnosus partial 23S ribosomal RNA
Rfam family: Bacterial large subunit ribosomal RNA
Source: RNAcentral
UGCACUAGUUUAUUUUGUUUAAGCGAUGGAGGGACGCAGGAGGCUAAGGAAAGCGCACGGCUGGAAAAGUGCGUCCAAGCAGUAAGUCCGGUAGCGAGUGAAAUGCUUGCCGCCUUAAGGACAAGCUGUGAUGGGGAGCGAAAUUAAAGUAGCGAAGUUCCUGAUGUCACACUGCCAAGAAAAGCUUCUAGUGAGAAAUAAACUACCCGUACCGCAAACCGACACAGGUAGUCGAGGAGAGUAUCCUCAGGUGAGCGAAGCGAACUCUCGUUAAG